AUUGAACGCUGGCGGCAGGCCUAACACAUGCAAGUCGAGCGGAGCGGCGGACGGGUGAGUAAUGCCUAGGAAUCUGCCUGGUAGUGGGGUAUAACGUCCGGAAACGGGCGCUCAUACCGCAUACUAUCAGAUGAGCCAAGGUCGUAUUAGCUGGUUGGUGGGGUAAAGGCCUACCAAGGCGACGAUCCGUAACUGGUCUCAGAGGAUGACCAGUCACACUGUAACUGAGACACGGUGGAGAAUACUACGUGGGGGAGCAGUGGGGAAUAUUGGACAAUGGGCGAAAGCCUGAUCCAGCCAUUCCGCGUGUGUGAAGAAGGUCUUCGGAUUGUAAAGCACUUUAAGUUGGGAGGCGUUACCAACAGAAUAAGCACCGGGUAACUUCGUGCCAGCAGCCGCGGUAAUAC
RNAcentral lists this ribosomal RNA (407 nucleotides) under uncultured bacterium. RNAcentral's name for it is "partial 16S ribosomal RNA". It matches the Rfam family "Bacterial small subunit ribosomal RNA", at positions 30 to 526 of the family's 1533-position model. The record is from RNAcentral.